GAUGAAGAACGCAGCGAAAUGCGAUACGUAAUGUGAAUUGCAGAAUUCAGUGAAUCAUCGAAUCUUUGAACGCACAUUGCGCCCAUUAGUAUUCUAGUGGGCAUGCCUGUUCGAGCGUCAUUUCAACCCUCAAGCUCUCUUGCUUGGUGUUGGGGCUUCUGCGGCUUCGGCCGCAGGCCCUGAAAAACAGUGGCGGGCUCGCUAUAACUCCGAGCGUAGUAAUCUCUCUCGCUUUGGAAGUGUGGCGGUUCCCGGCCGUUAAACCCCCCAAUUUCUGAAUGUUGACCUCGGAUCAGGUAGGAAUACCCGCUGAACUUAAGCAUAUCAAUAAGCGGAGGA
This 339-nucleotide unclassified non-coding RNA is filed under the name soil metagenome. RNAcentral's name for it is "partial contains 5.8S ribosomal RNA, internal transcribed spacer 2, and large subunit ribosomal RNA". The stretch from base 1 to 120 matches the Rfam family "5.8S ribosomal RNA", at positions 35 to 154 of the family's 154-position model. The record is from RNAcentral.